This 510-nucleotide ribosomal RNA is filed under the name Aenictocupidus jacobsonorum. Its description in RNAcentral is "partial 16S ribosomal RNA". The stretch from base 384 to 510 matches the Rfam family "Archaeal large subunit ribosomal RNA", at positions 2544 to 2671 of the family's 2987-position model. The record is from RNAcentral. Lineage: Eukaryota; Metazoa; Arthropoda; Insecta; Coleoptera; Staphylinidae.
UUUUUGAAUUUAAUUUAAAGUCUAAUCUGCCCACUGAAUUUUUUGAAUGGCCGCAGUAAUUUGACUGUGCAAAGGUAGCAUAAUCAUUAGUUUUUUAAUUAAAAGCUGGAAUGAAGGAUUGGACGAGAAAAUAACUGUCUCUUUAUAAUUUAUUUAGAAUUUUAUAUUUAAGUUAAAAAGCUUAAAUAAGUUUAAAAGACGAGAAGACCCUAUAGAAUUUUAUAUAAAAAAUUUUUAAGUUAUUUUAGAAUUAAAGAGAUUUUGAGAUUAAUUUAUAUUUAAUUGGGGUGAUAGAAAAAUGUAAUAAACUUUUUUUUAAUAAAAUCAUUAAUUUAUGAAUUUUUGAUCCAUAUUGUAUGAUUAAAAGAUAAAAUUACCUUAGGGAUAACAGCGUAAUUUCUUUGUAGAGUUCUUAUSGUUAAAGAAGAUUGCGACCUCGAUGUUGGAUUAAAAUUUAAUUUUGGUGUAGAAGCUAAAAUUUUAGGUCUGUUCGACCUUUAAAAUUUUACA